GACGAACGCUGGCGGCGUGCUUAACACAUGCAAGUCGAACGAUGAAGCCGGAGCUUGCUCCGGUGGAUUAGUGGCGAACGGGUGAGUAACACGUGAGCAAUCUGCCCUUGACUCUGGGAUAACUGCGGGAAACUGUAGCUAAUACCGGAUACGACACCUUGGGGCAUCCCAGGGUGUGGAAAAAAUUUCGGUCAAGGAUGAGCUCGCGGCGUAUCAGCUAGUUGGUGAGGUAAUGGCUCACCAAGGCGACGACGGGUAGCCGGCCUGAGAGGGUGACCGGCCACACUGGAACUGAGACACGGUCCAGACUCCUACGGGAGGCAGCAGUGGGGAAUAUUGCACAAUGGGCGAAAGCCUGAUGCAGCAACGCCGCGUGAGGGAUGAAGGCCUUCGGGUUGUAAACCUCUUUUAGCAGGGAAGAAGCGAAAGUGACGGUACCUGCAGAAAAAGCCACGGCUAACUACGUGCCAGCCGCCGCCGUAA
Molecule: ribosomal RNA, 483 nt
Filed under: uncultured bacterium
Lineage: Bacteria
Description: partial 16S ribosomal RNA
Rfam family: Bacterial small subunit ribosomal RNA
Source: RNAcentral